This 497-nucleotide ribosomal RNA is filed under the name uncultured bacterium. RNAcentral's name for it is "partial 16S ribosomal RNA". It matches the Rfam family "Bacterial small subunit ribosomal RNA", at positions 28 to 507 of the family's 1533-position model. The record is from RNAcentral.
GAUGAACGCUGGCGGCGUGCCUAAUACAUGCAAGUCGAGCGAACAGACGAGGAGCUUGCUCCUCUGACGUUAGCGGCGGACGGGUGAGUAACACGUGGAUAACCUACCUAUAAGACUGGGAUAACCUCGGGAAACCGGAGCUAAUACCGGAUAAUAUAUUGAACCGCAUGGUUCAAUAGUGAAAGACGGUUUUGCUGUCUCUUAUAGAUGGAUCCGCGCCGCAUUAGCUAGUUGGUAAGGUAACGGCUUACCAAGGCAACGAUGCGUAGCCGACCUGAGAGGGUGAUCGGCCACACUGGAACUGAGACACGGUCCAGACUCCUACGGGAAGCAGCAGUAGGGAAUCUGCCGCAAUGGGCGAAAGCCUGACGGAGCAACGCCGCGUGAGUGAUGAAGGUCUUCGGAUCGUAAAACUCUGUUAUUAGGGAAGAACAAAUGUGUAAGUAACUAUGCACGUCUUGACGGUACCUAGUCAGAAAGCCACGGCUAACUACGUG